AUUCCACUCUCUUUCUCAGCCAUUCUCAGCCUGUACUUCUAUUUCUCUCCCCCGAUUCCCUUUUCUUUCCCAAUUCCCUUUUCUUUCUCAGCCUUUCUCUGACUAAGCCAUUUGCCUAAAUCAUAGUUCCCCCGAAACCCUCAUUUUCUCCCAAAUCAUAGUUCCCCCAAAACCCCAAAAUUUCCCUAAAUCAAACCCAUUUGCUGUCUCCCUCUCUCUUUUCGAUCGACAGGUAUCAUAAUUUUCUAAUCAAACCCAAAGCUCAUUCUUUCAUUUUGAUUUCAUUGCAGCAAGCAAGCCAUUUAUUUUUGAUUUCAUUUCGACUUCAAUUUCACUUCUGUUUUAUUUUUGCAGCAAGCAGAAAGAUUAAGGGAUUUCAUUUUGAAAUCAAACCCGAUUGAAGGCUACCUUUGGCGAGUCCAUCAAAUCAAGGUACUCUUAUUUACUUGUUCUUUUGAAUCCUAGACUUUAGCAUGCUGACAUUUAUAUUUUUUUUCUUUUGUGUUCUUUAGUAUAUGCCAUCUAUUGGGAAUUUUAUUGUUGUUCUCUUUCCCUCUGCGUAUGUAGUUAGUUUCCUAUUAUGGGAAUUUAUUUUGUUGGUUUUGAUUUCUGCGUUUGAUUUUGGCUUUUUGGUUCUUUGAGUCGGAAGAUUGAUGGCCUUUUAUGGGCUAGUUUGAUUUAUAUUGGCAUUUGAUUAUACAUGAUUGGAAAAUGGUUUAAUAUGUAUAGAUUCUCCAAGACUAGAAACUUUAUCCUUGAUGUUUCAAGUUACUGAAUGAUGAACUUGGCUGUCUUGAAACUACAACCUAUACAUGAGUGACCUUCGAUACCGUAAACAUGUUUUCAGUUAUCAGUUCAGUGUCUUCUCAUGUGAUCAUUGGUAGAAGCAAUUCCUUGUAGGAUUAGAUAGUUUAGGUUAGAUAACCCGACCUAUAUUGAAUUGCUUGCUCUAUUUAUUGUGUUUUGGUUUCAAUGGUCAAUAUUCUGGGCUUAUUAAACUCUAAAAAUGCGUGUCACCAGUCAUCCUCAUGAAAACAUGCCUCAAAAACACUCUUUGCUUCUGCUGUUGUGCUUGUGCUGCCUUACACUCAAAUAUUUAUGUUACCAAUCUUAGCUGGUCCAGUCACCUUUUCUUCCAUGAUCUUCUGCAUAUUGUGUAACAUUAAUACAUCCUUCCUUAUCCUGCAUUGCUUUUACACUGUUAAAUAGCGGGUAGUAGCUAUCCCUGAAGUUUUCUGGAGAACUUUAGAGUCAUAAAAACCCUGGCUAAAGACUUCCUGAUUCUGAAAUUUGCUGCCUUGCGUUGGAGGGCACCUAUUGAUAUAAUUAAUAAUUACGACCUUUUUUAGGUAAAAUAAUGUGAAUUUGCAUUUAAUUAAAUUGUUUAUUUACCAUAGAAUCUUUUUUCGCAAGCCCCAUGAUAUAUAUUUUCAUUUCUCAUUAUUUUCUUCUAAGAUCUUUUUAUCAUAAUACUAAAUCUACAGUUAAUGGCUCUCUACCAUCUUAAAAGUUGAAUUAUAGUCUAAAUCACCAUUUUUUCCCUUUAAUUUCUUCGGUUAAUAAUUAGUACGGUAAACGUGGACCAAUUGCCAUCUUUAAAAUUAGUUGAAAUGACUCUUGAAACCAACAAAAAAGCUGGUACACUUCUCAAAUUUUUAUUUUUAUUUUGGUGGAAAACAUUUCUCAAAAUUUUAACCACGGUGUGACAAGAGAUAUGUAUUUCUUCUUAACUUGGCGAGCUAUACAGACUUCGCCAAUACAAAUUAGUCACGCUUCAUAAUUGUGAAUCGGUAAGCAACUCACCAUUUUUCUAUAUAAAAAAACAUUUGGGCAAAUCAAAUUUAUUAUACAUUUUCAUGACAAGUCUCGCCAGCUGUUAUCAAUUUUAUUAUGUGCAUGCCUCGCCAUUUUCUUUUUAUUUUGGUAUAUAUCAUUGAAGCUUGGCAGUAUACAUACUAUUGGUGCUUAUAAUUUGCUCAUAUCGUUGGCUGUCAUUAGUGAUACCGUAACUGCAUAUUUGUUUUAUUUUCUCCUUAAUCCUCAAGUCAUGCUCUAAGAAAUACACUCAAUUGAAGUUUGGAGCAACUCUAUCCUCUUUUAGUUCUCUGAUCUUAUGAAUGUGCAGAGCAUGUUUGUAAUGUCUCUGUCAUAGUGGCUUCAUCAUAUGAUAUCAAUUACUAUGUUACACAUUGAUGGUUAGAAAGCUGUAAUUAAUUAUUUUUUAUUCAAUUUGAUGGCUCGGAAUAAAUUGUUUGUGGUGAUGCAUGCAUAUUCACGUAACAGAUGAUGUGAUUGUUAUACAUAGCUGCUACAUGAGUUGAGACCUGAUGAGAGUAAGUUGGAGAAUAGCCUGUGUUAUCCAAAAAUUAGUAUUUUGUUCUAACAAUUACUCUUUUGCAUGCUAACUCAGCAUAUUACAGUGACAUCUGUGUCGGAUCAAUUGCUUGCCGGCUGGAAAAGAAGGAAGGUGGGGCUAUCCAUUUGUACAUCAUGACAUUGGGGUUAUCCAUUUGCCAGCAUAUUACCCUAGACUUCUGUGAUGAGUUAAAUGGAUUUAACUCAAUUGAAUAAUGAUUAAUUCACUUGUUUUAAGUGUUUUUUUUCAUUUUAUAUUUUUUAUAUAAAAAAUAUAUAUACUUAAAUCACAAAAUGAUAACUAAACUAUACUUGUUUUCCCAAAUUGAUAUUUAAACUUUUUUGUUGUCAUAAGUGGUACUUAAACUAUACCACUUACCCAUUUUAUCUCUGUUGUUAAAGAAAUUCCCUUAACCAAUCAUUUUGUGGCACGAUAUAAUUUUUAACUAAAAUAUCCAAAAAAAAGAUUAAAUAUUAUUUCCUUUAUAAACAUAUUUAUCUUUUUUUGUUUUCACCUAAAAGUUCUAGUGAAAAAAAAUUCAAGAACUAAUCGAGAAACACAUUUGAACCUAGUUUUCGACAAUAAAGCUUAGAUUGCGAUGAGUGUUUUUUUUCUUUUUAAUUUUUUAAUAUAUUCUACUGACACAUUGCAAUUCCAAGUAUCUAUGUUAGUGAUUUAGUAUCUCUUCUUAAAUUUGAAUCUCGAUGAUAAUUAGACUGGAGGAUGCCAUUACUGUAGUAAGGAUCCUUUAAAUAUUUACCUUUUUUUAAUAAAUUUUGAACUAGAGUGAACUGGCAAAAGUGUUGUUAAGAAGCUGAGGGUGUUACCGUUGCUCAACCAAUUUAAUAAUUUAGGUUGAUGCUAUAAUGUUAUUGAAAGGCAUAUUUGAGUCAGAUUAUUUUUUUAUUUUAUGGCUGUUUAUUGUUUGCAG
RNAcentral lists this long non-coding RNA (3287 nucleotides) under Gossypium barbadense (sea-island cotton). RNAcentral describes it as "long non-coding RNA (GBAR_LNC006071)". Lineage: Eukaryota; Viridiplantae; Streptophyta; Magnoliopsida; Malvales; Malvaceae. The record is from RNAcentral.